GACGAACGCUGGCGGCGUGCCUAAUACAUGCAAGUCGAGCGAAGUUUUUCUGGUGCUUGCACCGGAAAAACUUAGCGGCGAACGGGUGAGUAACACGUAAAGAGCCUGCCUCAUAGACUGGGACAACUAUUGGAAACGAUAGCUAAUACCGGAUAACAGCAUUAACUGCAUGGUUGAUGUUUAAAAGUUGGUUUUGCUAACACUAUGAGAUGGCUUUGCGGUGCAUUAGCUAGUUGGUGGGGUAAAGGCCUACCAAGGCGACGAUGCAUAGCCGACCUGAGAGGGUGAUCGGCCACACUGGGACUGAGACACGGCCCAGACUCCUACGGGAGGCAGCAGUAGGGAAUCUUCCGCAAUGGGCGAAAGCCUGACGGAGCAACGCCGCGUGAGUGAAGAAGGAUUUCGGUUCGUAAAGCUCUGUUGUUAGGGAAGAAUGAUUGUGUAGUAACUAUACACAGUAGAGACGGUACCUAACCAGAAAGCCACGGCUAACUACGUG
This 499-nucleotide ribosomal RNA is filed under the name uncultured bacterium. Its description in RNAcentral is "partial 16S ribosomal RNA". It matches the Rfam family "Bacterial small subunit ribosomal RNA", at positions 28 to 507 of the family's 1533-position model. The record is from RNAcentral.